RNAcentral lists this ribosomal RNA (446 nucleotides) under uncultured bacterium. Its description in RNAcentral is "partial 16S ribosomal RNA". It matches the Rfam family "Bacterial small subunit ribosomal RNA", at positions 329 to 792 of the family's 1533-position model. The record is from RNAcentral.
AGCCAGACUCCUACGGGAGGCAGCAGUGGGGGAUAUUGCACAAUGGGGGGAACCCUGAUGCAGCGACGCCGCGUGGGUGAGGAAGCGCCUCGGCGCGUAAAGCCCUGUCAGCAGGGAAAAAAAUGACGGUACCUGAAGAAGAAGCCCCGGCUAACUACGUGCCAGCAGCCGCGGUAAUACGUAGGGGGCAAGCGUUAUCCGGAUUUACUGGGUGUAAAGGGAGCGCAGACGGCAGUGCAAGUCUGGAGUGAAAGCCCGGGGCCCAACCCCGGAACUGCUCUGGAAACUGUGCGGCUAGAGUACUGGAGGGGCAGGCGGAAUUCCUAGUGUAGCGGUGAAAUACGUAGAUAUUAGGAGGAACACCAGUGGCGAAGGCGGCUUACUGGACUGUAACUGACGUUGAGGCUCGAAAGCGUGGGGAGCAAACAGGAUUAGAUACCCCCGUA